This 250-nucleotide ribosomal RNA is filed under the name uncultured bacterium. RNAcentral describes it as "partial 16S ribosomal RNA". It matches the Rfam family "Bacterial small subunit ribosomal RNA", at positions 524 to 777 of the family's 1533-position model. The record is from RNAcentral.
UACGAAGGGGCUAGCGUUGCUCGGAAUCACUGGGCGUAAAGCGCACGUAGGCGGCUUGUUAAGUCAGGGUGAAAUCCUGGAGCUCAACUCCAGAACUGCCUUUGAUACUGCGACUUGAGUUCGGGAGAGGUGAGUGGAACUGCGAGUGUAGAGGUGAAAUUCGUAGAUAUUCGCAAGAACACCAGUGGCGAAGGCGGCUCACUGGCCCGGAACUGACGCUGAGACGCGAAAGCGUGGGGAGCAAACAGGG